RNAcentral lists this ribosomal RNA (254 nucleotides) under uncultured bacterium. Its description in RNAcentral is "partial 16S ribosomal RNA". It matches the Rfam family "Bacterial small subunit ribosomal RNA", at positions 524 to 776 of the family's 1533-position model. The record is from RNAcentral.
UACGGAGGGUGCAAGCGUUAGUCGGAAUUACUGGGCGUAAAGGGUGCGUAGGUGGGGAUGUAAGUUAGAUGUGAAAUCCCGUUGCUCAACAACGGCCGUGCAUCUGAAACUGCGUUUCUAGAGGGAUAGCGGAGAAAGCGGAAUUCCAUGUGUAGCGGUGAAAUGCGUAGAUAUAUGGAAGGAACAUCAGUGGCGAAAGCGACUUCCUGGACCAAUACUGACGCUCAUGUGCGAAAGCGUGGGGAGCAAACAGG